AGGGAAGAACAAGUACGUUAGGAAAUGAACGUACCUUGACGGUACCUUAUUAGAAAGCCACGGCUAACUACGUGCCAGCAGCCGCGGUAAUACGUAGGUGGCAAGCGUUGUCCGGAUUUAUUGGGCGUAAAGCGCGCGCAGGCGGUUUCUUAAGUCUGAUGUGAAAGCCCACGGCUUAACCGUGGAGGGUCAUUGGAAACUGGGAGACUUGAGUGCAGAAGAGGAAAGUGGAAUUCCAAGUGUAGCGGUGAAAUGCGUAGAGAUUUGGAGGAACACCAGUGGCGAAGGCGACUUUCUGGUCUGCAACUGACGCUGAGGCGCGAAAGCAUGGGGAGCAAACAGGAUUAGAUACCCUGGUAGUCCAUGCCGUAAACGAUGAGUGCUAAGUGUUAGGGGGUUUCCGCCCCUUAGUGCUGCAGCUAACGCAUUAAGCACUCCGCCUGGGGAGUACGACCGCAAGGUUGAAACUCAAAGGAAUUGACGGGGGCCCGCACAAGCGGUGGAGCAUGUGGUUUAAUUCGAAGCAACGCGAAGAACCUUACCAGGUCUUGACAUCCCAGUGACCACUCUAGAGAUAGAGUUUUCCCUUCGGGGACAUUGGUGACAGGUGGUGCAUGGUUGUCGUCAGCUCGUGUCGUGAGAUGUUGGGUUAAGUCCCGCAACGAGCGCAACCCUUAAUCUUAGUUGCCAUCAUUUAGUUGGGCACUCUAAGGUGACUGCCGGUGACAAACCGGAGGAAGGUGGGGAUGACGUCAAAUCAUCAUGCCCCUUAUGACCUGGGCUACACACGUGCUACAAUGGACGGUACAAAGAGUCGCUAACUCGCGAGAGCACGCUAAUCUCAUAAAACCGUUCUCAGUUCGGAUUGUAGGCUGCAACUCGCCUACAUGAAGCCGGAAUCGCUAGUAAUCGCGGAUCAGCAUGCCGCGGUGAAUACGUUCCCG
This 944-nucleotide ribosomal RNA is filed under the name Rummeliibacillus pycnus. RNAcentral describes it as "bacterial SSU rRNA". It matches the Rfam family "Bacterial small subunit ribosomal RNA", at positions 441 to 1376 of the family's 1533-position model. The record is from RNAcentral. Lineage: Bacteria; Bacillati; Bacillota; Bacilli; Caryophanales; Caryophanaceae.